Molecule: ribosomal RNA, 617 nt
Filed under: uncultured bacterium
Lineage: Bacteria
Description: bacterial SSU rRNA
Rfam family: Bacterial small subunit ribosomal RNA
Source: RNAcentral
CGAGCGGAACGAUCCUAGCUUGCUAGGAGGCGUCGAGCGGCGGACGGGUGAGUAACACGUGAGAAUCUGCCCAUUAGUGGGGGAUAACCUGGGGAAACCCAGGCUAAUACCGCAUAAUCCCUACGGGGGAAAGCAGGGGACCUUCGGGCCUUGUGCUGAUGGAUGAGCUCGCGUCGGAUUAGCUUGUUGGUGAGGUAAUGGCUCACCAAGGCGACGAUCCGUAGCUGGUCUUAGAGGAUGAUCAGCCACACCGGGACUGAGACACGGCCCGGACUCCUACGGGAGGCAGCAGUGGGGAAUCUUGGACAAUGGGGGCAACCCUGAUCCAGCCAUGCCGCGUGUGUGAAGAAGGCCUUCGGGUUGUAAAGCACUUUCAGUAGGGAGGAAGGCUUAUCCUUAAUACGGAUGAGUACUUGACGUUACCUACAGAAGAAGCACCGGCUAAUUUCGUGCCAGCAGCCGCGGUAAUACGAAAGGUGCAAGCGUUAAUCGGAAUUACUGGGCGUAAAGCGCGCGUAGGCGGUUUGCUAAGUCAGAUGUGAAAGCCCCGGGCUCAACCUGGGAACUGCAUUUGAAACUGGCAGGCUAGAAUGCAGUAGAGGGAGGUGGAAUUUCCG